GCCCCUCGCUGUAAGAGAGCCGGCAGAAAACGUCCAUGUCUUGGAGUGUAAUUAAAUAGGCGUUUGCCGUGCUUUCCUCAGGCGAAUACCGCCGGUAUGGCAACAUUUCACACAGAACAGAGAAUGCUCUGUUUGGAAGGCAGAACUCACAGUACCUAAUUCUCUUGUCCGUAAGAAUUUUGAGAGAUGUGGAAUGUAGUCUGGGCAAGCGAAGGAGUUUAUCCUCAUAAAGCAAAACAAAAUGUCAAAGUUAUCUGCCAUUGAAAGCAAAUUUGGAGACUAUCAAAGACACCAUACUAGAGGGGAAAAUAUGCGACCUGCCAGGACCUGAAGGAAAAAAUUAGAGAAAGCAGAGGCCAUUAGUACUCAGAAAAUGGGAUAUUGUCGGUCAUGCUGAACAGCAGAGUGGAGCAAAUAAAAAUUAGAACAUGUUUCUGAACUGAGUUCACCAAUUAAGCAAAGCUAUAUGUAUCUUCUGCACAUAGAUGGAUCUUACAGCAGCUUUAGAGGCAGAAGUUGUGGGCAUGCUGAACUCAACAUUCACGUGACUGGCAAAUCUGGAAGGCACUUCCCCGUCAGAGCCAAGUUCAAGGUGGCAGAAGAAACAGUGUGGGUGACCAGACGCUAUGAAAGGAAAAGAAUUUAGACAUUGGGUUCUUUGAGGAAAGACACAGAAGAAGCGGCCAAAAGAGCCACGUCAAUAACAAAGGAGGCUGGAAGACUGCCUGCAGGCUCAGCACCACACCACACAGUCUUUCCGAGGGUCCAAGGCUGAGCAGAGGAUUUACCUCAACAGAAACCACACGGCCUGUGUCUCAGAUCCUUCUCAUGACAGUAGCCUUGUACCCUAGCAGUAAAACCCACUGCCUGACAAAUCCACUCAGGUCAGGGUGCUGAUGGGAACACAGCACAGAUACUAAGAAAUAGAGGCUGUAAAUUGGCAGAAAGGAAUAAAAGGGCUCAGCACUUAGCACCUAAUAAAGCAUCAAUGACAGCCAUGUGGAGCAAAAUAAUCGAUUCCCUUUGAAAGAUGAAUUUUUUUUAUAAUUAAAAAAAACUUUGAAUGUUUA
Molecule: long non-coding RNA, 1070 nt
Organism: Suricata suricatta (meerkat)
Lineage: Eukaryota; Metazoa; Chordata; Mammalia; Carnivora; Herpestidae
Exons: 3
Source: RefSeq, a predicted model, not a curated record